ACGCACGCUGGCGGCGUGCUUAACACAUGCAGGUCGUACGGUAAGGCCCUUUCGGGGGUACACGAGUGGCGAACGGGUGAGUAACACGUGAGUAACCUGCCCACAACUUUGGGAUAACGCUAGGAAACUGGUGCUAAUACUGGAUAUGUGCUCCUGCUGCAUGGUGGGGGUUGGAAAGCUCCGGCGGUUGUGGAUGGACUCGCGGCCUAUCAGCUUGUUGGUGGGGUAGUGGCCUACCAAGGCGGCGACGGGUAGCCGGCCUGAGAGGGUGACCGGCCACAUUGGGACUGAGAUACGGCCCAGACUCCUACGGGAGGCAGCAGUGGGGAAUAUUGCACAAUGGGCGCAAGCCUGAUGCAGCAACGCCGCGUGCGGGAUGACGGCCUUCGGGUUGUAAACCGCUUUCAGCAGGGACGAAGCUUUUUGUGACGGUACCUGCAGAAGAAGCACCGGCUAACUACGUG
This 464-nucleotide ribosomal RNA is filed under the name uncultured bacterium. Its description in RNAcentral is "partial 16S ribosomal RNA". It matches the Rfam family "Bacterial small subunit ribosomal RNA", at positions 29 to 507 of the family's 1533-position model. The record is from RNAcentral.